CCCCGUGGAGCUUUACUGCAACCUGAUAUGGAAUGUUUGUACCGCUUGUACAGGAUAGGUAGGAGCCGAAGAGACGUGUGCGCUAGCAUACGAGGAGGCAAUGGUGGGAUACUACCCUGGCUGUAUGCCCAUUCUAACCCGCCACGCUUAGCGCGUGGGGAGACAGUGUCAGGUGGGCAGUUUGACUGGGGCGGUCGCCUCCUAAAGAGUAACGGAGGCGCCCAAAGGUUCCCUCAGAAUG
This 241-nucleotide ribosomal RNA is filed under the name Listeria ivanovii. RNAcentral's name for it is "partial 23S ribosomal RNA". It matches the Rfam family "Bacterial large subunit ribosomal RNA", at positions 2089 to 2329 of the family's 2925-position model. The record is from RNAcentral. Lineage: Bacteria; Bacillati; Bacillota; Bacilli; Caryophanales; Listeriaceae. RNAcentral also lists the same sequence under 1 other name.